This 391-nucleotide unclassified non-coding RNA is filed under the name uncultured fungus. RNAcentral describes it as "partial contains small subunit ribosomal RNA, internal transcribed spacer 1, and 5.8S ribosomal RNA". The stretch from base 1 to 73 matches the Rfam family "Eukaryotic small subunit ribosomal RNA", at positions 1759 to 1831 of the family's 1831-position model. The record is from RNAcentral. Lineage: Eukaryota; Fungi.
UCAAACUUGGUCAUUUAGAGGAAGUAAAAGUCGUAACAAGGUUUCCGUAGGUGAACCUGCGGAAGGAUCAUUACAAAUCCAUCACGUCUCACACUGAGACCUUUGUUGAACCAGUUUUGCAAGAGAGAAGAGGAGAGCCAAGGAGCGCGAGGGAGAGGAGAGCACGGUAGCGCAGGGAAGGUGGUGCGGUAACGCGCCACGCCCCUACUACGCGCGCCCCUCUCUCUCUCCCUCUCCUCCCGCACCUCUCUCUCUCUCUCUCUUGUACACCAACACUACUUCACUAGUAGACCUUCGUUACUGUUGUUGCUUAUAUGUACAUGUACAUUAUAACAAACGAACAACUUACAACAAUGGAUCUCUAGGCUCUUGCAUCGAUGAAGAACGCAGC